This 770-nucleotide ribosomal RNA is filed under the name uncultured Bacilli bacterium. Its description in RNAcentral is "bacterial SSU rRNA". It matches the Rfam family "Bacterial small subunit ribosomal RNA", at positions 21 to 776 of the family's 1533-position model. The record is from RNAcentral. Lineage: Bacteria; Bacillati; Bacillota; Bacilli.
GGCUCAGGACGAACGCUGGCGGCGUGCCUAAUACAUGCAAGUAGAACGCUGAAGGAGGAGCUUGCUCUUCUGGAUGAGUUGCGAACGGGUGAGUAACGCGUAGGUAACCUGCCUGGUAGCGGGGGAUAACUAUUGGAAACGAUAGCUAAUACCGCAUAAGAGUAGAUGUUGCAUGACAUUUACUUAAAAGGUGCAAUUGCAUCACUACCAGAUGGACCUGCGUUGUAUUAGCUAGUUGGUGGGGUAACGGCUCACCAAGGCGACGGUACAUAGCCGACCUGAGAGGGUGAUCGGCCACACUGGGACUGAGACACGGCCCAGACUCCUACGGGAGGCAGCAGUAGGGAAUCUUCGGCAAUGGACGGAAGUCUGACCGAGCAACGCCGCGUGAGUGAAGAAGGUUUUCGGAUCGUAAAGCUCUGUUGUAAGAGAAGAACGAGUGUGAGAGUGGAAAGUUCACACUGUGACGGUAUCUUACCAGAAAGGGACGGCUAACUACGUGCCAGCAGCCGCGGUAAUACGUAGGUCCCGAGCGUUGUCCGGAUUUAUUGGGCGUAAAGCGAGCGCAGGCGGUUAGAUAAGUCUGAAGUUAAAGGCUGUGGCUUAACCAUAGUACGCUUUGGAAACUGUUUAACUUGAGUGCAAGAGGGGAGAGUGGAAUUCCAUGUGUAGCGGUGAAAUGCGUAGAUAUAUGGAGGAACACCGGUGGCGAAAGCGGCUCUCUGGCUUGUAACUGACGCUGAGGCUCGAAAGCGUGGGGAGCAAACAGG